This 308-nucleotide ribosomal RNA is filed under the name uncultured bacterium. RNAcentral's name for it is "bacterial SSU rRNA". It matches the Rfam family "Bacterial small subunit ribosomal RNA", at positions 335 to 630 of the family's 1533-position model. The record is from RNAcentral.
ACUCCUACGGGAGGCAGCAGUGGGGAAUAUUGGACAAUGGGGGAAACCCUGAUCCAGCCAUGCCGCGUGUGUGAAGAAGGCCUUCGGGUUGUAAAGCACUUUCAGUGGGGAGGAAAGGUUGAUGGUUGAAUACCUAUCAGCUGUGACGUUUACCCACAGAAGAAGCACCGGCUAAACUCCAGUGCCAGCGANCCGCGGUAAUACGGAGGGUGCAAGCGUUAAUCGGAAUUACUGGGCGUAAAGCGUGCGCAGGCGGUCUGUUAAGCGAGAUGUGAAAGCCCCGGGCUCAACCUGGGAACUGCAUUUCG